RNAcentral lists this ribosomal RNA (858 nucleotides) under metagenome. Its description in RNAcentral is "bacterial SSU rRNA". It matches the Rfam family "Bacterial small subunit ribosomal RNA", at positions 8 to 864 of the family's 1533-position model. The record is from RNAcentral.
AGAGUUUGAUCCUGGCUCAGGAUGAACGCUAGCGGUAGGCCUAACACAUGCAAGUCGAACGGUAACAUAAGAGCUUGCUCUUGAUGACGAGUGGCGAACGGGUGCGUAACACGUAUACAAUCUACCUUUAACUGAGGAAUAGCCCAGAGAAAUUUGGAUUAAUACCUCAUAGUAUUAUUUUAAGGCAUCUUAUUAUAAUUAAAACUCCGGUGGUUAAAGAUGAGUAUGCGUUCUAUUAGUUUGUUGGUGAGGUAACGGCUUACCAAGACUACGAUAGAUAGGGGGCCUGAGAGGGUGAUCCCCCACACUGGUACUGAGACACGGACCAGACUCCUACGGGAGGCAGCAGUGAGGAAUAUUGCGCAAUGGAGGAAACUCUGACGCAGCCAUACCGCGUGUAGGAAGAAUGUCCUAUGGAUUGUAAACUACUUUUAUACAAGAAGAAACCCCAGUACGUGUACUGGGCUGACGGUAUUGUACGAAUAAGCACCGGCUAACUCCGUGCCAGCAGCCGCGGUAAUACGGAGGGUGCAAGCGUUAUCCGGAUUUAUUGGGUUUAAAGGGUCCGCAGGCGGGAUUCUAAGUCAGUGGUGAAAGCCUACAGCUCAACUGUAGAACUGCCAUUGAUACUGGAAUUCUUGAGUGUGGUUGAAGUAGACGGAAUAUGUCAUGUAGCGGUGAAAUGCAUAGAUAUGACAUAGAACACCAAUUGCGUAGGCAGUUUACUAAACCAUUACUGACGCUCAUGGACGAAAGUGUGGGGAGCGAACAGGAUUAGAUACCCUGGUAGUCCACACCGUAAACUAUGAUCACUAGAUGUUGGCGAUANACAGUCAGUGUCUUAGAGAAAUCGUUAAG